GAUGAACGCUGGCGGCGUGCCUAAUACAUGCAAGUCGAGCGAACAGACGAGGAGCUUGCUCCUCUGACGUUAGCGGCGGGCGGGUGAGUAACACGUGGAUAACCUACUUAUCAGACUGGGAUAACUUCGGAAAACCGGAGCUAAUACCGGAUAACAUGUUGAACCGAAUGGUUGAACAGUGAAGGACGGUUUUGCUGUCGGUUAUAGAUGGAUCCUGUCCGCAUUAGGGAGUUGGUAUGGUAUAGGCUUACCAUGGCAACAAGGCGUAGCCGACCUGAGAGGGUGAUCGGCCACACUGGAGCUGAGACACGGUCCAGAGGCCUACAGGAGGCAGGGGGGGGGAAGUGGCCACAAAGGGCGAAAGCAUGACGGAUCAACGCCGCGUCGGUGCGGAAGGUCUGUGGAUCGUAGAACUCUGUUAUUAGGGAAGAACAAAAGUGUAAGUAGCUAUGCACGUCUUGACGGUACCUGAUCAGGAAGCCACGGCUAACUACGUG
RNAcentral lists this ribosomal RNA (497 nucleotides) under uncultured bacterium. Its description in RNAcentral is "partial 16S ribosomal RNA". It matches the Rfam family "Bacterial small subunit ribosomal RNA", at positions 28 to 507 of the family's 1533-position model. The record is from RNAcentral.